GACGAACGCUGGCGGCGUGCUUAACACAUGCAAGUCGAACGGAAAGGCCCUGCUUUUGUGGGGUGCUCGAGUGGCGAACGGGUGAGUAACACGUGAGUAACCUGCCCUUGACUUUGGGAUAACUUCAGGAAACUGGGGCUAAUACCGGAUAGGAGCUCCUGCUGCAUGGUGGGGGUUGGAAAGUUUCGGCCGUUGGGGAUGGACUCGCGGCUUAUGAGCUUGUUGGUGGGGUAGUGGCUUACCAAGGCUUUGACGGGUAGCCGGCAUGGGAGGGUGACCGGCGACAUUGGGACUGAGAUACGGCCCAGACUCCUACGGGAGGCAGCAGUGGGGAAUAUUGCACAAUGGGCGGAAGCCUGAUGCAGCAACGCCGCGUGCGGGAUGACGGCCUUCGGGUUGUAAACAGCUUUCGCCUGUGACGAAGCGUGAGUGACGGUAAUGGGUAAAGAAGCACCGGCUAACUACGUG
RNAcentral lists this ribosomal RNA (468 nucleotides) under uncultured bacterium. RNAcentral's name for it is "partial 16S ribosomal RNA". It matches the Rfam family "Bacterial small subunit ribosomal RNA", at positions 28 to 507 of the family's 1533-position model. The record is from RNAcentral.